RNAcentral lists this long non-coding RNA (368 nucleotides) under Fukomys damarensis (Damara mole-rat). RNAcentral describes it as "lncRNA (ENSFDAG00000024359.1)". Lineage: Eukaryota; Metazoa; Chordata; Mammalia; Rodentia; Bathyergidae. The record is from RNAcentral.
CUCAACUCUCCCAGUUCUGACCCACAAUGGCGACUGCUUCAGUCUGGAGGAAACCGCCAUGGCUGCCAGGAUUGGAGCAAACAUGUUGCCAUUCGCCAGAUCCUUGUUCCGGAGUUGUUUUACAAAAGUAGGUGAGGAUAACAAGAAGGGGGAGAGACAGCUCGCUGGCAAGAGUCCAGCCACUCUUCUGAUACCCCGCACCUUUCCUGACGUUCUGAAGACUUCUGAACGACCUUGAGACUGACCGCACCAAACGAGCCCAUAUUGGGACUCUAUGAUCACAGCGGAAUGAAAUGAAAGGAUGACGAAAUUUAUUGGUUCCCAAAGGAAAGCAGAGGGUAAAAGUAAAUUCCAACUAUUUAAUGAAC